AGGAGGAGCAGGGCUGGAGGGGGUGCUGAGCAUGGGCCGACAGGAGGCACCGAGCAGACCUCAGGUGCGAGCCCAAAGCAAACAGCAAAGGGCAAAGUCGGAGCUGGGUGGAUUUGUUUGCCGAGUGAAGGGUUUGAGCACAGGGGCGAUGCCACAGAUCAAAUGAAGAUGUUAAAGGAUAGCGGACCUGGCACAGAUCUCACCACUAACCACUAACAACAAUAC
RNAcentral lists this long non-coding RNA (225 nucleotides) under Serinus canaria (Common canary). Its description in RNAcentral is "lncRNA (ENSSCAG00000008289.1)". The record is from RNAcentral. Lineage: Eukaryota; Metazoa; Chordata; Aves; Passeriformes; Fringillidae.